AUUGAACGCUGGCGGCAGGCUUAACACACGCAAGUCGAGCGGGGUGAUGGUGCUUGCACUAUCACUUAGCGGCGGACGGGUGAGUAAUGCUUAGGAAUCUGCCUAUUAGUGGGGGACAACAUCUCGCAAGGGAUGCUAAUACCGCAUACGUCCUACGGGAGAAAGCAGGGGAUCACUUGUGACCUUGCGCUAAUAGAUGAGCCUAAGUCGGAUUAGCUAGUUGGUGGGGUAAAGGCCUACCAAGGCGACGAUCUGUAGCGGGUCUGAGAGGAUGAUCCGCCACACUGGGACUGAGACACGGCCCAGACUCCUACGGGAGGCAGCAGUGGGGAAUAUUGGACAAUGGGGGGAACCCUGAUCCAGCCAUGCCGCGUGUGUGAAGAAGGCCUUAUGGUUGUAAAGCACUUUAAGCGAGGAGGAGGCUCUUUUGGUUAAUACCCAAGAUGAGUGGACGUUACUCGCAGAAUAAGCACCGGCUAACUCUGUGCCAGCCGCCGCAGUAA
This 503-nucleotide ribosomal RNA is filed under the name uncultured bacterium. RNAcentral's name for it is "partial 16S ribosomal RNA". It matches the Rfam family "Bacterial small subunit ribosomal RNA", at positions 30 to 523 of the family's 1533-position model. The record is from RNAcentral.